Molecule: ribosomal RNA, 460 nt
Filed under: uncultured bacterium
Lineage: Bacteria
Description: partial 16S ribosomal RNA
Rfam family: Bacterial small subunit ribosomal RNA
Source: RNAcentral
CCUACGGGAGGCAGUAGUGAGGAAUAUUGGUCAAUGGCCGGAAGGCUGAACCAGCCAUGCCGCGUGAAGGUCAGUGCCCUAUGGGCGUUAAACUUCUUUUGUGCGGGAGCAAUAAUGGUCACGUGUGGCCAGACGAGAGUACCGUACGAAUAAGCAUCGGCUAACUCCGUGCCAGCAGCCGCGGUAAUACGGGGGAUGCAAGCGUUAUCCGGAGUUAUUGGGUUUAAAGGGUGCGUAGGCUGUGAGGUAAGUCAGCGGUGAAAUGCCCCCGCUCAACGGGGUGAAGUGCCAUUGAUACUGCCUUGCUGGAAUGCGGAUGCGGUGGGAGGAAUGUGUGGUGUAGCGGUGACAUGCAUAGAUAUCACACAGAACACCGAUUGCGAAGGCAUCUCACGAAUCCGCGAUUGACGCUGAUGCACGAAAGCGUGGGUAUCAAACAGGAUUAGAUACCCCUGUAGUC